Molecule: ribosomal RNA, 465 nt
Filed under: Vreelandella stevensii
Lineage: Bacteria; Pseudomonadati; Pseudomonadota; Gammaproteobacteria; Oceanospirillales; Halomonadaceae
Description: partial 16S ribosomal RNA
Rfam family: Bacterial small subunit ribosomal RNA
Source: RNAcentral
CCUACGGGGGGCUGCAGUGGGGAAUAUUGGACAAUGGGGGCAACCCUUAUCCAGCCAUGCCGCGUGUGUGAAGAAGGCCCUCGGGUUGUAAAGCACUUUCAGUGAGGAAGAACGCCUGGUGGUUAAUACCCAUCAGGAAAGACAUCACUCACAGAAGAAGCACCGGCUAACUCCGUGCCAGCAGCCGCGGUAAUACGGAGGGUGCGAGCGUUAAUCGGAAUUACUGGGCGUAAAGCGCGCGUAGGUGGCUUGAUAAGCCGGUUGUGAAAGCCCCGGGCUCAACCUGGGAACGGCAUCCGGAACUGUCAAGCUAGAGUGCAGGAGAGGAAGGUAGAAUUCCCGGUGUAGCGGUGAAAUGCGUAGAGAUCGGGAGGAAUACCAGUGGCGAAGGCGGCCUUCUGGACUGACACUGACACUGAGGUGCGAAAGCGUGGGUAGCAAACAGGAUUAGAUACCCCAGUAGUC